GAUCCUGUAGCUCAUGUGGGUGAGCGUCGCCUCUGGUUUGAGAGGUUGCUGGUUCGAUACCCAGCCAGGAUUC
Molecule: non-coding RNA, 73 nt
Organism: Ameiurus melas (black bullhead)
Lineage: Eukaryota; Metazoa; Chordata; Actinopteri; Siluriformes; Ictaluridae
Source: the annotation of a GenBank genome assembly